This 254-nucleotide ribosomal RNA is filed under the name uncultured bacterium. Its description in RNAcentral is "partial 16S ribosomal RNA". It matches the Rfam family "Bacterial small subunit ribosomal RNA", at positions 524 to 776 of the family's 1533-position model. The record is from RNAcentral.
UACGUAGGGGGCAAGCGUUGUCCGGAUUUAUUGGGCGUAAAGAGCUCGUAGGUGGUUCGGUAAGUCGGAUGUGAAAUCUCCAGGCUCAACCUGGAGGGGUCAUUCGAUACUGCCGUGACUAGAGUUUGGUAGGGGAGUGUGGAAUUCCUGGUGGAGCGGUGAAAUGCGCAGAUAUCAGGAGGAACACCCGUAGCGAAGGCGGCACUCUGGGCCGAUACUGACACUGAGGAGCGAAAGCGUGGGGAGCGAACAGG